CGGAGUUAGCAGAGAUGCUUUGGUGCCUUCGGGAACUCUGAGACAGGUGCUGCAUGGCUGUCGUCAGCUCGUGUUGUGAAAUGUUGGGUUAAGUCCCGCAACGAGCGCAACCCUUAUCCUUUGUUGCCAGCGGUUAGGCCGGGAACUCAAAGGAGACUGCCAGUGAUAAACUGGAGGAAGGUGGGGAUGACGUCAAGUCAUCAUGGCCCUUACGAGUAGGGCUACACACGUGCUACAAUGGCGCAUACAAAGAGAAGCGACCUCGCGAGAGCAAGCGGACCUCAUAAAGUGCGUCGUAGUCCGGAUUGGAGUCUGCAACUCGACUCCAUGAAGUCGGAAUCGCUAGUAAUCGUGGAUCAGAAUGCCACGGUGAAUACGUUCCCGGGUCUUGUAACACACCGAUAU
Molecule: ribosomal RNA, 405 nt
Filed under: Enterobacter bugandensis
Lineage: Bacteria; Pseudomonadati; Pseudomonadota; Gammaproteobacteria; Enterobacterales; Enterobacteriaceae
Description: bacterial SSU rRNA
Rfam family: Bacterial small subunit ribosomal RNA
Source: RNAcentral